AUGCCAUGAUGUGGGCAUUUCCCUAGCAAGUCAUUCAAUCUUUCCCAAGCCUCAUGUAAUAACUCCCCUUCUUUUUGAGAAAAAGUUCUAAUUGAAGUAAGCAU
Molecule: small nucleolar RNA, 104 nt
Organism: Cornus florida
Lineage: Eukaryota; Viridiplantae; Streptophyta; Magnoliopsida; Cornales; Cornaceae
Source: RefSeq, a predicted model, not a curated record